CAGCAGCCGCGGGAAUACGUAGGUGGCAAGCGUUGUCCGGAAUUAUUGGGCGUAAAGCGCGCGCAGGUGGUUUAAUAAGUCUGAUGUGAAAGCCCACGGCUCAACCGUGGAGGGUCAUUGGAAACUGUUAAACUUGAGUGCAGAAGAGGAGAGUGGAAUUCCACGUGUAGCGGUGAAAAGCGUAGAGAUGUGGAGGAACACCAGUGGCGAAGGCGACUCUCUGGUCUGUAACUGACGCUGAGGAGCGAAAGCGUGGGGAGCGAACAGGAUUAGAUACCCCAGUAGUCCCUGUCUCUUAUAC
This 301-nucleotide ribosomal RNA is filed under the name uncultured bacterium. RNAcentral's name for it is "partial 16S ribosomal RNA". It matches the Rfam family "Bacterial small subunit ribosomal RNA", at positions 509 to 807 of the family's 1533-position model. The record is from RNAcentral.